GGAUGUGAAGACUAUCUGGCUCCAACAUCUAUCAUUCCAUUGACCGUCAGGGUUAAUUUGGCUGAUUUGUCUGCAUAGGCCCUUUGUCUCUCACUGCUCUAUGUGUGUCCCUCCAGAAGCUGUGUGCUUGGUCAAAGGGGACGACCUUCCCUGAUAGAGAAGGACCAUUCUUCAGACAAGGGUAUAUGAGUAACUGCACUCCCCUGCUAGAACCUCUCAACAAGCUUUCAAAGAUGGAACUCUGCUUUUUUACCUUCUACCAAAAAAGAUUUAAUAUAAUUUAUACAAUGAUCUAUGUUCCUUCCAUUAUCAUGUAUAUUAAUUUUCAGU
Molecule: small nuclear RNA, 330 nt
Filed under: Microcebus murinus (gray mouse lemur)
Lineage: Eukaryota; Metazoa; Chordata; Mammalia; Primates; Cheirogaleidae
Description: 7SK RNA (ENSMICG00000023751.3)
Rfam family: 7SK RNA
About the family: 7SK was discovered as an abundant small nuclear RNA in the mid-70s but a possible function has only recently been suggested. Two independent studies have found that 7SK RNA binds the CDK9/cyclin T complex (known as elongation factor P-TEFb). P-TEFb activates transcription by phosphorylating the C-terminal domain of RNA polymerase II.
Source: Rfam by way of RNAcentral